AAGAUAACAGUGUUGGGAUUGAGUGGAAGCGGAGAGUCAUUUGCUCUCGAGGUUGAUGGAAGUUCAGUGUCAGAUGUCUCCCAUGUACAGCUUACUGCAUCUGAACAGCAUGUAGCCACUGAUAAGUUAGAAGAUGAAGGAGAUACGAGGAAGAGCAUGAUGAUAGAAAUUCAGGGAUUGGACCUGCCAGUAGGGAAAAACUUUGCCAUGUCCUGGAAAAUGGGCGUCCAUGGUUAAGGUCCCUGCCUUUUUAGAUUUGCUUGUUUAGUAUUUUUCCUUUUUUUUUUUUUGUUUUCAAAUUUUCUUUCUUCAAUUGUUGAUGCUUUUGGUGCUUCACAUUUGUGUUGCUGGAGAUGAGAUGGGCGAAGAAUGCUCUCCAUUUCCCAUGCACACAAGCAGGGAUGAUGAGGACUUGACUCUCUUGCUUUGCUUUAGGCUUUCUUUGAAUCUCUAGGCUUGUAGCUUCAAUUGGCUUCAAUGCAGUUUUAUAAUGUUAUGAAUCUUUGAGAUCUAUCUUGCCUUCUUCACACUUUU
RNAcentral lists this long non-coding RNA (534 nucleotides) under Vitis vinifera (wine grape). RNAcentral describes it as "long non-coding RNA (VVIN_LNC000053)". Lineage: Eukaryota; Viridiplantae; Streptophyta; Magnoliopsida; Vitales; Vitaceae. The record is from RNAcentral.